RNAcentral lists this ribosomal RNA (468 nucleotides) under uncultured bacterium. RNAcentral's name for it is "partial 16S ribosomal RNA". It matches the Rfam family "Bacterial small subunit ribosomal RNA", at positions 28 to 507 of the family's 1533-position model. The record is from RNAcentral.
GACGAACGCUGGCGGCGUGCUUAACACAUGCAAGUCGAACGGAAAGGCCCUGCUUUUGUUGGGUGCUCGAGUGGCGAACGGGUGAGUAACACGUGAGUAACCUGCCCUUGACUUUGGGAUAACUUCAGGAAACUGGGGCUAAUACCGGAUAGGAGCUCCUGCUGCAUGGUGGGGGUUGGAAAGUUUCGGCUGUUGGGGAUGGACUCGCGGCUUAUCAGCUUGUUGGUGGGGUAGUGGCUUACCAAGGCUUUGACGGGUAGCCGGCCUGAGAGGGUGACCGGCCACAUUGGGACUGAGAUACGGCCCAGACUCCUACGGGAGGCAGCAGUGGGGAAUAUUGCACAAUGGGCGGAAGCCUGAUGCAGAAACGCCGCGUGCGGGAUGACGGCCUUCGGGUUGUAAACCGCUUUCGCCUGUGACGAAGCGUGAGUGACGGUAAUGGGUAAAGAAGCACCGGCUAACUACGUG